Molecule: long non-coding RNA, 982 nt
Organism: Oncorhynchus masou masou (cherry salmon)
Lineage: Eukaryota; Metazoa; Chordata; Actinopteri; Salmoniformes; Salmonidae
Exons: 3
Source: RefSeq, a predicted model, not a curated record
UGCCAAAUUCCAGCUGCGCUAAUUGUAUUGUGUUCACAGAGCUCACAAGCUAUCAGAAAGUUGUAUGGCAACCACCUCCGGCGCCAAAUAGAACUGGCAGACAUAGACAUUCAGUACAAGAAGAAAAAGAUGGAAAAUCUUGCACUGGAGUCCGAAAUAAAAAAGAGGACAAUUAGGAAACUGGACCUUGAAAUAAAAAAACUUGAGAGGGAGCUCCAAGAAGAUGACACAGCUCAAAAUAAAAAUUAGGUAUAUUCUCGUAAAGUCAAGUGAGCCAUGACAUAUGAGCUCUUAUUGUGAGCACACAGGACGGUGGCAUCUUUCUAAGGUUUUUUUUAUUUUCCCAGCAAUCAGUACAACCAAGUCAUCGUUAUAAGGCAUCGCCCUCUUUUGCCCACCCCCCCAGCACCAGGUGUGGCCACUAGCCUAUAUGAAGGCCCAAAAUUGUGUGUUCCUUUCUGCUCUGACAAUGGCAUGCCCAUUCGUGCGAGAUGUGGUGGAUGAAGAAGCACUUGUGCUGAGGAGAGCCUUCAGGCGAGAAAGGGUCUUCAGGGACCGGUUGGACCCACUGGCCUUCCCUGAUGACCAUCUAUAUGAAAGAUACAGGUUUUCUGCAGAUGGCAUCAGGUAUCUAUGCAGACUACUGGGUCCCAGGAUUAAGCACCGCACUGCACGGAGCCAUGCACUGAGUGUGGAGCAAAUGGUUUGUGUGGCCUUGCGCUUUUUUGCUAGUGGAGCCUUCCUGUACUCAGUGGGGGAUGCAGAACAGCUGAACAAGGCCACAAUUUGCCGCACAAUAAGGAGUGUGUGUCUGGCUAUCAAAGCAUUAGCAGAUGUCUUCAUCUCCUUCCCUGGCCACAGAAGACUCUGUGACAUCAAAGAGGAGUUCUAUAGGAUUGCAGAUGGUCUGCAAUGCUGACUGUGUGAUCAGCAAUGUUGUGGCAAAAUGGCCUGGCUCAGUCCAUGACUCCAGAAUCUUUCG